GACCUACGGGAGGCAGCAGUGGGGAAUAUUGCACAAUGGAGGGAACUCUGAUGCAGCGACGCCGCGUGAGUGAAGAAGUAAUUCGUUAUGUAAAGCUCUAUCAGCAGGGAAGAAAGUGACGGUACCUGAAAAAGAAGCUCCGGCUAAAUACGUGCCAGCAGCCGCGGUAAUACGUAUGGAGCGAGCGUUAUCCGGAUUUACUGGGUGUAAAGGGAGCGUAGACGGCGAUGCAAGUCUGAAGUGAAAGGCGGGGGCCCAACCCCCGGACUGCUUUGGAAACUGUAUGGCUGGAGUGCAGGAGAGGG
Molecule: ribosomal RNA, 305 nt
Filed under: uncultured bacterium
Lineage: Bacteria
Description: bacterial SSU rRNA
Rfam family: Bacterial small subunit ribosomal RNA
Source: RNAcentral